GGAGCUUCUGACAGGGGAAGUUAUAGAAACACCAGGUCCCUGGGAUAGUGGGUCCUGACAUUGGUAACAUCAUAUUACUAGGACACCCUAGUCCAGAGUGCAGUCAAGAAACUCUGGCCAAGAAAGCCAAACAUUGCUGAAGAGAUAAAUAAACAAACAAGAUAAAACUCUAAAAGAGAUACUGAAUGUGCCUGAGAUGAGUCCCCUCUCUCCACUUCAGGACUGAGAGAAGCUGGUCAAGGCCAAAAAGCUGGUUCUAGGAACCUGAGAGAUUUUGGGGAGAGAGGAAGAGAUCAAGUGUAAGGAUUUUCCCAAUCAACCUGAAGCUCAGGGUGUAUAAUCACUGUCACAAAGGGAGGGACUGCCUUUCCUGGAGGUUAACUAAAAGCAAGGAGCUGGAGGAAAGGCUGGGAAGGAGUCCUAAAGGGCUGCUGUAAGGCAGGGACAUUACAGAGUGAGCAAUGGUCUGAGGGAACUGCCUGGCGUCUAGCAAAGACAAAGCUGAACUGACACGACAACCUAAACAGCAACAACAGCAACCAAACUUCACAGAGCACUUCUCUCAUACCAGACUCUUCUCUAAUUAUUUUACGUACAUUAUCUCAUUUGAUCCUCACAGCAGCCUUAUAACAAGAAUUUAGAAAAUGUGGUAGGGCCACUUUCAAAAGUUCUGGGAAAGGAUUAUUAUACCUGAGGACUCUCCCAUUAAUGACAUUUCAUAAGAGACCAAAGCUAUUUUGGAUCCCCACAACCUCUCUAUGGAUGUAUAAAUAACAUUUUAAAUACAUAUUACUUUGAACUAGGGGAAACUGCUAGUUUUGUAGAUCAAAAAAUUGUCAAAUAGCAGAACUUUCAUAUGGUUCAACCUAAUAUAUAAAAUAUAUGUACUUUAAGGGAAGUAAGUAAAAAAGUAACAGGCAAAUACAGUAGAGUGGGAUAUGUACUACAUAAGGAGUAAGUAUUGUGCACUCUGGGAAAAAAAACACACACACAAAAGAAUGUGCUAACCAAGUUUUCAGUGAAGGAGAGCAAAGGGGAGACUUCUAGGAGGAAAUGUUGAAACCUGAAGUACAAUAGAAAACACUAAGGGAAGUUAAUCAUUAUGAGCCUGAUUCAGUGAAUCAGGGAGGCUUUAGGUCAUGAUAAAGUAACAGAUGCUGGACUUGCACUACCACUGUAAACAUGUAGAAAACUAAGAAAAAUAUGUGAAAAAAACCCACUUUCAGACAUUGAACAGCAGACAUCACAAGAUCAUAAUCACUGGGAGUAGGAAAACAAACAAGGUGAGUCCUUCAGUUGGUUAAAAUCAGUAAGUUUUUAAAGAUUGAAAGAGUAUGUUCUCUAAUUGUACAGAAUUAAAUUGGAAAUAAAAAUAGAAAGAGAUCUGAAAAAUAAACAGCUUAGUUUUAAGUAAGUCUUGGGUAAUAAAAGAAAUCCCAAGGGAAAUUUAAAAAUAUUUAAUGAACUGAAUGAAAAUAGAAACACAACAUAUCAAAAUUUGUGAGAUGCAGUUGAAGCAAUGCUAAGGGAAGAUGUAUAACUUCAAAUGAUUAUAUUAGAAAAAAAUCAAAUCAAUAAUUUAAACUUGCAUACCAAAAAGCUAUAAAAAGUUGAGACAAUUAAACCUAAAGUAAGUGAAAGAAUGAAAAAAUAGAAAUAACAGCAAAAAUCAAUCAAAUAAAGAAUGUACAAAUAAUGGAGAAAAUAAAUUAAACCAAAAGAAGAGUCUUUAAAUGCCACAUCAUGGGCUACAGGUAGAAGCCCAGAGGUGGGAACAGCUUAUAAAGGAGGUCUGCUCAACGGAAUAUAUACUGACUGCAGAGGUGCCACUUUGGUGUGUUAUCAUCUUGAACAGCUUGUUGUGACAAACAUUUCAAUAAAACUAAUAACUUCUAUCUAAACUCAUCAAAGAAAUAAGGGAAAAGACACAAAUUAUCAUCAAGAAUGAAACAAGGGACAUUAUUACAGAGUCUACAGUCACUAAAAGGAUAAUAAGGACUAUUAAGAACAACCUACUGCCAAUAAAUUCAACAUCUGAUAUGAAAUGGAAGAAUCCUUUGGAAAAAAACAACAACAACAAACGACCAAAAAUGACUUAAGAGAAGACAGAAAUUCUAAAUAGUCCCAUAUCUAUUAAAAACCAUUGGAUUUCUUAUAAACGAUAUUCCACAAAGAAGAAUCUCAACCCAGGUGACUUCUCUGGUGAAUUCUUUCAAACAUCUAAGGAAGAAAAAAGAACAGUUCUAUACAAUAUAUUUCAGAAAAUAGGGAAGGCAAUAAUACAUUGUUCUUCCACAUUAAAAGAAAACACCAGCAGCAUUGUUCGCAUCCUGCCUGCUUAACAGAGCCUUAUGGUAUCUUCAAUUCCAAGAGCAAUAAAAAACAUGUAACCAUAAAAAUGCUUAAACAUGUGCCAUAAAAAUGUACACAGAUCUUUAAAGAAUAUUUAUUUAUACCAAAUAAAAACUGGUAACAAUCUAGAUUAGCAAGAGAAGAGAAUAAACAAAUUGUGAUACACACACAUGGUGGAAUAUUACUCAGAAAUAAAAAGGAAUAAAUUACAGAUAGAUGCAACAAUAUGGAUCAAUCCAAAAAAAUUAUACUGAGUAAAAGGAGCCAGACACAAAAGAGUAUAUUUGUAUAUUCUAUUUUUAUAAAAAUUUAGAAUAUGUAAAACUAAUCAAUAAUUGUAAAAAGCACGUCAAUGGUUACCUGAGGCCAGUUGUGAAGGUGGAUGAAGGAACUUAUUUGGUGGUGGAAAGAGUCUAUUUCUUAAUAGGGGUAAAGUUUCAAAUGUAUAUACUACUGUCAAAAACUCAUCAAACUAUAUGGUUAAAAUAGCUACAUUUUAUCACACAAAAAUUAUAUCUCAAUAGAAUUGAAUUGAAAAAAAUAAGUCAGAGAAAUAGGUAGAGAUGAAGACAUUAGGGAGAACGUUAUCAAGGUUGUCUCUCAUGUUUCAAUCAGAGCAACUUUAUGGAUGGUGGUUUUCCUUACUAUUGUGGAAAGAAAUGCUGGAACAGAACCAGGUUUGAGGGAAGGAGUGUUAAUAGAACAGUACUGAAAUGUUGAGGUAAAGGUGCCUAUGGUAGUGGUGUUCUAUAAGCCAUUUUUCAGGGGGAGAGGGAAAAGAUGGGGAGCCCUGACUUGUAGCAUUUUCUGAUAUUCAUGGUAUAGAUACUUCCAUCACGUCUGAUUUCAAGCUACCAACUGUUUAAUAACCAGCUUAAAAAAUCUUGGAAAUUUAACAAUCUUUCGUGACCCAGAAGGAGCCAGCUCCAGCAAGCCACUGCCUAUGAAUCAUCAAAACAAAUAUGUGAAGCAAGAAACUGUAUCAAUCGAGGGGUUCUUUCUAGAAAUAUAGGGGAAAAGUGUAGUCAUCAGUGAAUAGAUGUUAAUAAAAUCCAGGUAUGUGGAUGCAAUUAGGGAAAAAAUAUAGAGGGGAAAGAAGAGAUGCCUAGAAUUUUACCUCAGGUAUGUUAUUUUUAAAGGUCAACUGGAAGAGAAUGGGCAAGUAGAAGAAAGUGAAAAGUAAGAACCAGAGAGGCAGGAGGAAAAACAGGAUGGUAUUUUGUCAUCCAUCCAAGCCAAGGGUAAAUAAACUAAAUAAACCCAGAGCCAUCAUCCAACUUGGCCUGCUUCACAGACCUUGCAUUAUCUUGGUUGCUGUCUCCAGAAUCACUUCACUGAGUCUCAAAAUGGUAUUCAGUUCUAUAUCGCCAAAAGAAGCUAAAGUAUAUUGAAAUGAGGAGCCAAGACUCCCAACCCCCAAACAAAUAAGCCAUGUACUAGCUCACAGAUCUGACCGUGGACAUUAAUACACACAUGCAGCAGACACUGUCAGUAGCCUGAAAAUAUUCCCUCAUCUUCUGUAUCUGCUGAGUGACUUGCAACUGUCAUCACUUGCAUUUCUUUGAUUAAGAGGCUUCUUUGGCCACUGAAGCCUGUUUUGCCCAAUGAAGGAGGUUGGAAGGGCUAGAAUGAAUGCAUCUCCCUAUUCCCUAAACAGCCCUCAAACAGUAACUGGCUGCAGUUGGUGUAUAAAUAACCCAGCUACCCAGUCCCUUUUGUGCAGUAACUCUAAGGUGUGUGUCCUAUGUUAAUCCCCCAGAGUUUCCCCCAUAGGAUAAAGCUCCAGUCACCCACAGUUGUAACUGACUUGAUAACACACCCCACACUGACUACCUUUCAUGGCGUAUUUUCUUCUUCCUCUCCUGGUGUUUAUUUUCCCUCCCCAUCAAACUACUUUGCUAUCAUAUUCUUGUCUGAGUGUCAGCUUCUGGGAAACCCAAACCAAAACAACUUGUUAUCUAUUGCACUGGGGACCUCUUGUAGUUGAUGGAUGUAGUCUAAGAGCACAGACCCAGGAGACAGGCCUAGGUCUAAGCCCAACCUGUACCAACUCACCUUCUUACUUCAGGCAUUUUAACUCUCUCUCUCUGCUUCAGUUUCCUUACCUUUAACUUAAAGGAUUUUGACUACAUUAACAUUUCCCAGAAUGUGUUCAUUGGAAGAACAUUCCAUGUUUGGAACGUUAAUCGUUGUUAUGGGGAAAAGGUGAAAGAGGAAAGAAGAUUCCUGCUCUGUUAUACACAGCAGUCUCUAUCUACUUCCCAGGAUGAUGCUGAAGUGGACGUGGAGUGCCUGGCUAAGUGUCUGACACAUAGUAGGUGUACAAAAAAUGGUGAUUGAUUUCAAAUCCAAAGCAGUUAGCUCAUGCUCAUAUAGAAUACAUCAUCAGUAGGCAGUGAUUCUUAACCUGAAGUUCAUGUACUCUCUGAAACUGUAAUAAAAAUUGUACACUCUGUGCUCCUGUGCCUUUUUCUGGGGUGAAUCUCUUAGAUUUAAUUGGAUUUUUAGACUCUCUAAAAGAUUAAGCCUUAAGCCAUGUUGUCUUAAGCCAUCUGGUCUUAUCAGUUGUUUUAAAACAUAGAAGGAAAUCAUUACUUCCUAGUUUUAAUGAUCAAACAACAAACACCUAUUCAUCAUCUUAUCUCUCUUUUAGGGGAACACCUCAAGUCUUUGUGCAGUGGUAUCUCAUUAAAAUUUCUGAGAUAUGAAUUCAAAAUGCCUAUAAGUUGAGGAUUCCAAGAAACUGCUGGAUGGAAGGAUCCUGGGUCUCUGCGCUACCACCUGAAGGAAGUCCAUC
This is a long non-coding RNA of Orcinus orca (killer whale), 5149 nucleotides long. RefSeq lists it as uncharacterized. Lineage: Eukaryota; Metazoa; Chordata; Mammalia; Artiodactyla; Delphinidae. The transcript has 3 exons. The record is from RefSeq and is a predicted model, not a curated record.